This 253-nucleotide ribosomal RNA is filed under the name uncultured bacterium. RNAcentral describes it as "partial 16S ribosomal RNA". It matches the Rfam family "Bacterial small subunit ribosomal RNA", at positions 524 to 776 of the family's 1533-position model. The record is from RNAcentral.
GACAGAGGGUGCAAACGUUGCUCGGAAUUACUGGGCGUAAAGCGCGUGUAGGUGGCCACGCAAGUCAGGUGUGAAAGCCCAGGGCUCAACCCUGGAAGUGCACAUGAUACUACGUGGCUGGAGUACUGAAGAGGAGAGCGGAAUUCCCGGUGUAGAGGUGAAAUUCGUAGAUAUUCGCAAGAACACCAGUGGCGAAGGCGGCUUACUGGUCCGGUUCUGACGCUGAGGCGCGAAAGCGUGGGGAGCAAACAGG